AGGGUUUGAUUAUGGCUCAGGAUGAACGCUAGCGGCAGGCCUUAUACAUGCAAGUCGAACGGUAACAUUGGUGCUUGCACCAGAUGACGAGUGGCGGACGGGUGCGUAACGCGUAUGCAACCUACCUUUUACUAGAGAAUAGCCCAGAGAAAUUUGGAUUAAUCCUCUAUAAUAUCAUUAAAUCACAUGUUUUUUUGAUUAAAGUUUUAACGGUAAAAGAUGGGCAUGCGUCUUAUUAGUUUGUAGGUGAGGUAACGGCUCACCUAGACUACGAUAAGUAGGGGCCCUGAGAGGGGGAUCCCCCACACUGGUACUGAGACACGGACCAGACUCCUACGGGAGGCAGCAGUAAGGAAUAUUGGACAAUGGACGAAAGUCUGAUCCAGCCAUGCCGCGUGCAGGAUGACUGCCCUAUGGGUUGUAAACUGCUUUUAUACAGGAAGAAACACUCCGACGUGUCGGAGCUUGACGGUACUGUAAGAAUAAGGAUCGGCUAACUCCGUGCCAGCAGCCGCGGUAAUUC
Molecule: ribosomal RNA, 523 nt
Filed under: uncultured bacterium
Lineage: Bacteria
Description: bacterial SSU rRNA
Rfam family: Bacterial small subunit ribosomal RNA
Source: RNAcentral